Molecule: ribosomal RNA, 497 nt
Filed under: uncultured bacterium
Lineage: Bacteria
Description: partial 16S ribosomal RNA
Rfam family: Bacterial small subunit ribosomal RNA
Source: RNAcentral
GAUGAACGCUGGCGGCGUGCCUAAUACAUGCAAGUCGAGCGAACAGACGAGGAGCUUGCUCCUCUGACGUUAGCGGCGGACGGGUGAGUAACACGUGGAUAACCUACCUAUAAGACUGGGAUAACUUCGGGAAACCGGCGCUAAUACCGGAUAAUAUAUUGAACCGCAUGGUUCAAUAGUGAAAGACGGUUUUGCUGUCACUUAUAGAUGGAUCCGCGCCGCAUUAGCUAGUUGGUAAGGUAACGGCUUACCAAGGCAACGAUGCGUAGCCGACCUGAGAGGGUGAUCGGCCACCCUGGAACUGAGACACGGUCCAGACUCCUACGGGAGGCAGCAGUAGGGAAUCUUCCGCAAUGGGCGAAAGCCUGACGGAGCAACGCCGCGUGAGUGAUGAAGGUCUUCGGAUCGUAAAACUCUGUUAUUAGGGAAGAACAAAUGUGUAAGUAACUAUGCACGUCUUGACGGUACCUAAUCAGAAAGCCACGGCUAACUACGUG